RNAcentral lists this ribosomal RNA (377 nucleotides) under uncultured bacterium. RNAcentral describes it as "bacterial SSU rRNA". It matches the Rfam family "Bacterial small subunit ribosomal RNA", at positions 521 to 896 of the family's 1533-position model. The record is from RNAcentral.
UAAGACGUAGGUGGCAAGCGUUAUCCGGAUUUACUGGGCGUAAAGCGCGUGCAGGUGGUUUGAUAAGUCGGGCGUGAAAUCUCCUGGCUCAACUGGGAGAAGCCGUCCGAUACUAUCAGACUUGAGGGCAGUAGAGGGAGGUGGAAUUCCGGGUGUAGUGGUGAAAUGCGUAGAUAUCCGGAGGAACACCGGUGGCGAAGGCGGCCUCCUGGACUGCCCCUGACACUCAGACGCGAAAGCUAGGGGAGCGAACGGGAUUAGAAACCCCGGUAGUCCUAGCCGUAAACGAUGCUAACUAGGUGUCGGCGGACUAAACCCUGCCGGUGCCGAAGCCAACGCGAUAAGUUAGCCGCCUGGGGACUACGGCCGCAAGGUUA